UAAAAUGGUUGAUAACUGGUGAAUACCUACUUAUAAAUAAUAGGGUUGCAUUAUUUCGAGUUUGCCGCUUGAAUCGACAUAUCUUCGACAUGAAAGGUGUGAUAUUGGUGACUUUUGCGUUGUUUUGCACUAUAUACACGGAAGAACAACGCGAAACGUGUAAAGGCGUAGCUUUUAAAUGUAUACCGCCACCUAAAUCUUGUCCGGUGAAUCAAACCUUAGUUCCUGGGACUUGCUCUUGUAGUUGCAAAACGUGCAAACCUCAACCGCAACUUUUUGGGGUUGGAUCAUCGUGUAUCAUCCUAUAUUAUCGAGGAAUGCCGACUUCAAACUGCAAUUACGGAUUAACGUGCUGCGACAAAGUUUGCGUUGAACCAAGACACUGUUGCUGAAUUUGUGUAUGUUUUGAUAUAUGGAGUUGAUACUUUUAAAUAAACUGUGUGUGUUUCAUUAUUAUUAAGUAGUUUAAAAGCUUUUAUAUGUACUGAAAAUGUAAGGUUAUGGAAUUAUUCACUAAUCAAACGCUAAGGGUACAUUUCUCUUAAUAAUAUACCGCAUAAUUACCUAUAAGGCUGAUAAAUUGCAUUGCAUAAAUUGAUGUCGUCUUACUAAGGAGCACUUCUAUUACAUGACUGGGUUAGGAGCAGACUUUUGGCAAUUUUGCAUUUGGUCAUUCUGCAUUAUUUAUAAACUGCGUUAACAGAUAUAUUGUACAUUGUAGGUAUAUCUAGUUGGUAAUUGUUUUUAAAUUAAAAAUACGAAAUAAACUUGCAAGGGUUCUUUUCGGCUCAAAUCUAUUAAUAUACUUGUAAAAACACAAGUAAAAUUAUGAGCACACCCUAUUUCUUUCAAGUAGUAUUAUUUUAAUGGCACAUAAAUAUUAAUUUAUACAUAUCUUCAUGAAACUUUUAUAUCAAAGAAAUAGCUUGGUGUCGAAUGUUUAGAAUAUAAAAUCAUGCAGUUUAAUUUAUCUUUGAUUAAGUUUAUAAAUUAUAAAUUUGUAUCUGAGACGUUCUUUUCAAAAAAUGUUAGCAUAAGGUCUGUUCGGUUUGACAAAACAAUUUUGUCCGUACUAAAAAAGAUCCCUUAGCUACAGCAACAAAAAAAAAUCUAAAUCGCAAAUAAACAAAUCUCGCUUGCAGUUUAAUCCUUAGGAAAAUAUUGACGUUUAUUAAAAUAACAUAAGCAGUGUUUUCGAAGCCAUCGUCAACAAUACCUUGUUUUGUAUAAAAGCGCAACUUAAGUAACUGGAGCGUGGAGUAAAUCGAGAUCAGCAGUUUUUUCAACAUGAAAAUCUACGUUUUAUUCUUGAUAAGUUGCGUAUAUCUUUGCCAAAUACACGCAAAAGAUGACGAGAUAAACUGCGAGGGAAUUGCGUUCCGUUGUAUACCGCCUCCAUCCUCCUGCCCCAAAAAUCAAACUUUGGUGCCGGGAACAUGUUCAUGUAGUUGUCUGUCGUGCCAACCCAUUCCGGCAGCCGGAGGUGUGGGAUCGCCAUGUCAAGGUUCAUCUUCCGUUUGCGCCGAAGGUCUGACAUGCUGCGAUAACGUCUGCGUUCAGUCGAGACAUUGUUGUUGAGUGACUUAUUUGUUGAUAAGGAUCAGUUUUCAGGAUAUAUAUAAUGUGUUGCUUAAACGCUUCAUUAUUUCUGUAAAUAAAUAAGUAAAUUUUGGAUUGAAAGCAUUUUAGUAAGCAGUUCCGCAACGUGGCAGUUUGGUAACUACGAGGUAAUUAUUGCAUAAUUUGUUUACUUGGUCACAAAAUGAAAUUUUAAAAUGAAUUUGCGUGAGUUCAAUUACUGCCAAUAGAAAAAUAAACAGAUAAGCGUUCUCUUAUCACCGUUGUAUGCGUGCAGGUGAAAAGUAUCGGAAAUUAGGUAAAAUCAAAAUAAUACUGCAUUAAGACCAAGUGGCUUAUUACCAGAAUUUUAGUUUGUAUUCUAUCCUAAUUGACAAUUUGUGAAACAUAUGCUUUCAAAAACAACGCUUACAGUUUUGAACUAAGGCGACUUUUAUGGGGAUUUAAUGAAUGAAAUUGAAACAAACGAUAUUCACAUUUUCAAGUAUUAUUUAAUGGUGUAUGACAGCUGUCUCGGCAAAACCGUGCCUUUAUCAUCUACAGAACGAUAGAAUAUUCCGACUUGUAUAAAUAUUAAAAGGUGAAUUUUGAAUUGAUAUUUAUUCACCCCUCGUUCGAUACAGUAGGUAUAUUUGUACUAAUCUCUUUCUUUUUUUCCAAAAGCGCAUUUUCUUAUUACUAUCGCGCAAUUUUUUAAGACUGAGGAGUACAAGUAAUUGUAAAAGAGAAGCCGUAAAAGUCGUUUCAUUUCGUUUCAUCAUUUUGUAUUGUUUCGCGUCAAAACAAUACGCUCCAGGUUGUGGAUAGUUUACCGCUAGUUUUGCUGGUUUUGAUACCGCAACACGGUAAGCUAAUAAUACCGAAGUAAAAUUAUUUAUUUAUCAUGGUAAAACGUUGUAAUCCACUGAAUAUUUAAGAACCCCCGAUAAAUUUUCGAUAAAGUUUAUUUUGUG
This is a long non-coding RNA of Cylas formicarius (sweet potato weevil), 2531 nucleotides long. RefSeq lists it as uncharacterized. The record is from RefSeq and is a predicted model, not a curated record. The transcript is spliced from 3 exons. NCBI's taxonomy places the organism in Eukaryota, Metazoa, Arthropoda, Insecta, Coleoptera, Brentidae.